GCUUACGGCCACACCGCCUGGUUCACGCCCGAUCUCGUUUGAUCUCGGAAGCUAAGAUAGGUUGGGCCUGGUUAGUACUUGGAUGGGAGACCGCCUGGGAAUACCAGGUGCUGUACUUU
Scophthalmus maximus (turbot) is the source of this 119-nucleotide ribosomal RNA. The record is from Ensembl. NCBI's taxonomy places the organism in Eukaryota, Metazoa, Chordata, Actinopteri, Pleuronectiformes, Scophthalmidae.